UUUUAUGUUUUCUUUGCUUGAUGCCAAUAAUUUGACCCUUCUGAAAAAGAUGAACAUCUUGUCCAUGAACACAGGAUGUGUCUUCUGAUAUGGUUGUUUAAAAAAUGAGAAGCUGCGCACUGCACC
This is a long non-coding RNA of Melanotaenia boesemani (Boeseman's rainbowfish), 126 nucleotides long. RefSeq lists it as uncharacterized. Lineage: Eukaryota; Metazoa; Chordata; Actinopteri; Atheriniformes; Melanotaeniidae. The record is from RefSeq and is a predicted model, not a curated record. The transcript has 3 exons.